GCCUGAUGCAGCGACGCCGCGUGAGGGAUGACGGCCUUCGGGUUGUAAACCUCUUUCAGCAGGGAAGAAGCGAAAGUGACGGUACCUGCAGAAGAAGCGCCGGCUAACUACGUGCCAGCAGCCGCGGUAAUACGUAGGGCGCAAGCGUUGUCCGGAAUUAUUGGGCGUAAAGAGCUCGUAGGCGGCUUGUCACGUCGAUUGUGAAAGCCCGAGGCUUAACCUCGGGUCUGCAGUCGAUACGGGCUAGCUAGAGUGUGGUAGGGGAGAUCGGAAUUCCUGGUGUAGCGGUGAAAUGCGCAGAUAUCAGGAGGAACACCGGUGGCGAAGGCGGAUCUCUGGGCCAUUACUGAGCUGAGGAGCGAAAGCGUGGGGAGCGAACAGGAUUAGAUACCCUGGUAGUCCACGCCGUAAACGGUGGGAACUAGGUGUUGGCGACAUUCCACGUCGUCGGUGCCGCAGCUAACGCAUUAAGUUCCCCGCCUGGGGAGUACGGCCGCAAGGCUAAAACUCAAAGGAAUUGACGG
Molecule: ribosomal RNA, 524 nt
Filed under: Streptomyces panaciradicis
Lineage: Bacteria; Bacillati; Actinomycetota; Actinomycetes; Kitasatosporales; Streptomycetaceae
Description: bacterial SSU rRNA
Rfam family: Bacterial small subunit ribosomal RNA
Source: RNAcentral